This 431-nucleotide ribosomal RNA is filed under the name uncultured bacterium. Its description in RNAcentral is "partial 16S ribosomal RNA". It matches the Rfam family "Bacterial small subunit ribosomal RNA", at positions 29 to 507 of the family's 1533-position model. The record is from RNAcentral.
AACGAACGCUGGCGGCAGGCUUAACACAUGCAAGUCGAGCGCCCCGCACGGGGAACGUCAGUUGGGUGAGUAACGAGUGGCGACCUACCUUUUGAUUCGUAACAACUCCGCGACACUCGAGCUAAUAACGGGUAAGCCCUCACGGGAAAAGAUUUAUCUCCGAAAGAUCGGCCCCCGACUGAUUAGCAAGUUGGUGUCGUAACGGCUCACCAAUGCGACGGUCAGUAGCUGGUCUGGGAGGAUGAACAGCCACACUGGGACUGAGACACGGCCCAGACUCCUACGGGAGGCAGCAGUGGGGAAUAUUGGACAAUGGGCGCGAGCCUGAGAAGGCCAUGCCGCGUGAGUGAUGAAGGUCUUAGGGUGGUAAAGCUCUUUUGUCCGGGAAGAUAAUGACUGUACCGGAAGAAUAAGCCCCGGCUAACUUCGUG